CUCUAGUGCGUCUUGCGACGAUCCAAGAAUUUCACCUCUAACGUCGCAAUACGAAUGCCCCGCCCGACGUACGUACCAACUUAGUUAGUACUACUUAACCUUUACCCUACUAAUUUACCUUUAAAACCCCUAAAAAACCCAAAAAACUAAAAAGUAAACCGGAAACCGGGUACCGGUUCCGUUUUUAGUUUUUACUACUUACCUUACCUAGUCGACCCAACCCUAACUUUACUUACGGACGGACGAAGUAAUUUUACUUUACGACCGUCCGUCGUUUAACGUUUAACGACCUACCUUAACUUUUAAGUUUUUCGUUAAACGUAAAGGUAACGGUAACGGUUCGGGUCCCGGUACCCCUUACCCGUACCGAACCUACCGUUUUAACGGUUUAAAGGACGACCCGAAACCGGUAAAGGGUAAGGGAAGGAAGUACGGUCCCGGAACCCGGAAAACGGGUAAACGUAACCAACCGAACGUAGUCGUAACCUAAACUACGGUACCGUAACUUAAAAGUAAACCCGACCCUAGUUAGGUACGGUCCGGUUCGGGUACGGUACCCGUUUCCCGUUACCCAACCCCGAACCCGAACGGAACGGAACUAGUCCGGCCCGGACCGAACUAGUCCGACCGUUAACGUUAACCCGAACCCGAACGGAC
RNAcentral lists this ribosomal RNA (657 nucleotides) under Triatoma infestans. Its description in RNAcentral is "partial 18S ribosomal RNA". Lineage: Eukaryota; Metazoa; Arthropoda; Insecta; Hemiptera; Reduviidae. The record is from RNAcentral.